Erpetoichthys calabaricus (reedfish) is the source of this 3788-nucleotide long non-coding RNA. RefSeq lists it as uncharacterized. NCBI's taxonomy places the organism in Eukaryota, Metazoa, Chordata, Cladistia, Polypteriformes, Polypteridae. The transcript has 10 exons. The record is from RefSeq and is a predicted model, not a curated record.
UUUGUUCUGCGCAUGUUGAAUGUUUUACGACACACGAGAAAAAAAGUUACCACGGGAUUUUAAUUUCUCGGUCUGCAUUAACAAAUAGAACUUCCGCCAUUCGAGUGAGAAGGAGAAAGAAGAACGCCAUAAAGAAUAGGAGCAUAUUGAAUUUUUCUCCGGGAAGAAGAAUAUUUUUCACUUCUUGAAAAAAUGAAGACUUUUCAAUUUUACAACGACUUGAAAGAAUAUCUUUUACGGGAAGAAUUUAGCAACAAUUUAACGGUCAGAGAGCGAAGUGAAAUACGACGUGUGUCCGUGAAUUUUAUGAUUAAAGACCACCAACUUUUUUACACUGGGCCAAACCAACAAUACUUUCGUCUCGUUAUGAGUGAAGAACAAAAGAGAGCUGUCCUAAUGGAGUGUCAUGAUAAUCCUGGAACCGGCAACCAUAACGGUGUGAGAGGAACCAGAAACAGAGCUAUUGCUGGCUAUUUCUGACCAACUCUUACACACGAUGUAGCUAAUUGGGUGAGAUGUUGUCACCGCUGUCAGCUGAAUGAUCCCAUCAAGGCACCAGUCUUGCUUUCUAUCAAAGUAAUGGCUGGCUUCCGGUUUGUGAAAUAAAAUCAAAUGAGGGUAAUGAUUUAAUGGCAAACAUUUUAUCAGGUGAAAGAAGCUUGGGAGGUGGUAGGUCUGGAUCUCUUUGGCCCAAUGUGUGAAACUGCCAGAAGAAACAAGUAUGUGUUGACCAUGACUGACCUCUACACAAAGUGGAUCGUUGCUGAGCCUCUACAAACUAAAUCAGUGAGUGAAGUGUCUGCAGCCAUUAUAUGGAAGCUGUACACAUUUGGCCUGGUUAGGAAGAUCAUUACUGACCAAGGAAAAGAGUUUGUCAACAAGGUACUGUUGAAAAAAAUGCUUUUUAUUUUUAAAUUGAAACAUUUCUUGAAAAAGUCCAUUAUUUAUAAACCCAUUUUUUAUCCCUUGUGUGAACUACUGAAGCAAUUCUGUUGAUUCUUCGUCCACAGUUAAAUGAGAAUAUCUUUGGAGUCCUAAAAAUAAAGCAUGCUGUCUCCAGUGCUUACCAUCCUCAGACAAAUGGGCAGCUGAAGUAUGUCCUGGACUCACAUCGUCCCUCAGCAGAACUGAUUGUCAAGGAUGGAAAUAUCUGCCUUACACGUGAGGACUUCUGGAGUCUUGGGUUAAACUGGUGCAUAGAUUCCAAUAUUGGAAAUGCCUGCUUCAAGAUAGUACAAGAAGCAGCCCAAACACAUGUAAUUUAUUUUUGUGUCUCAUUCACUGACCUUUGUUGGAUAAAAUAUUGUUUCUAUAUUGGUUUAUUUCUUUAUAAUUCUUUAAUUCUGUUUUUAACAGGGGAAAGAUAUUCACAUUGUGGAUAUAUAUGUGGUGCCCACAUGGAAAACCAAGAAUGUGGACCCACUUGUUGGUUUGCCAGUAAGUUUCGAGUUCAGUAUUUAUUUGUUCAUUUAUAUUCAUAAUUGUGUGUUAAUAUUUAUAUCUCAAUAAUUACAGGACAACCUGGGUUCAAAAGAUGCCAUAUUGUUUCCUGCUUGGAGCAGGCAACAAGAUCAAGUGGAUCACUAUUUGCUAUGUGUUGAGUUUCAAUUUCUUACAUGCAACUACAAUAAUUUUUAUUAUAUUAUUUUGACAAAUCAUAGCACUGUUAACCAUGUAUUCAUAUGGAAACAUUUCAGGUUUUACUGGUAGCUGAAAGGGAGAUAUUAUUUUUAGAUUCUCUUCGCCCUGAUGGUUUUGGAGAUGAGACCUACAGAACCAUAUUUAGGUUUGGAAAUAAUUGCCAUUCUUGUUUAAUGAUGGCCCUUGUUCAAUGGGUACAAGUUCCAGUCAUGGCCUUGUUCUAUGGCCAGAUGUUCUAGUUGUAGUCUUGUUCUAUGACUACAGGUUUUGGUUGUGAUUUUGUUCUGUGGUUACAGGUUAAGGUUGUGGCCUUGUUUUAUGGUCUGAGGUUCCAGUUCUGACCUCUUAUUAUAGUUACAGGUUCCCAUUUUGGCCUUGUUCUUUGGUCAGCGGUUUUACUUGCUGUCUUAUUCUAAGGCUGCAGGUUAUAUUUCAGAUUUGAUCUGUGGUUACAGGUUUGGGUUGCACCCUUGUUCUAUGGUUACAGGUUACAGUUGCGGCCUUGUUCUUUGGCCAGAGGUGUCCAGUUUUGGCCACAUUCUUUGGGUACAAGUUUCUUUUAAGGUUUGACCUAGAGACAGUUGUUUAAUCAACAGCAGGAUUAUAAUAUUGUGUUUUCAUUUAAUUUUUCAGACAAAUUGCAACCCGUAUUGACCCAGGACCUUGGAGUGAGAAGCUGGGCAGACAUUUAGAAGACUUUCCUCAGCAGACCUCUGGAAACUAUUGUGGCAUCCUCAUGGUUAGUUAUGCCCUUUGCCUCUGCACACGUACUAGAUUUACGUUCACUAAGGUAAAUUAUUUCUUAUUAUAAAGAAAAGCUCAGGUAUUUGUCCCAUUUGUCUAAUUAUUGCACUAUUUAUUUUCUUUUCCUUUUUCAAAGUGACAUACCAUUGAUCCGCCAUUAGUGGUGCAUCCUACUGAUGGAGAGGUUUCAGAUAGAGGGACAUGGCCAACGGUUUGCUUACUGGAGCGAUGAGGCUGUUGAGUUGUUGCAAGGCACUCUUCAGCCUCUUUUUAGAGUGUCUGGGCGAAUCUCUUCAACUGUCCCAUCUCACAUGCAAGCUGUGAGUGACCGGGUGGCAGAUGAGAAGAAGCUGGUAGACUUCAUUGUAGAAGCACAAGGCUCCCAGCAGCAUUUGUCGGUAUGUUAUUGAAUUAUUAGCAAAGUCCAUGGUUCAGAUUUUAUAGAGUUACUACAUGUCAAUAAAUAUGCCAAACUAUAAUUUAAGGAUUGUGUUGGAAGUGGACACCUCACGCUGGACUGCCAUUGCCCAAAGCCAUCAGUAAAGGUGUGGUGUGCUACUCAUGUAGUACAGGGACAGAACUUGGUACCUGGUCUUGUAAUAUUUCAUUCACUUUUUACUUAAGUGAUUGGUGUGAGACCAUUUAAGGGUAGAUAAAGUUAACUUAAAUAUAAGGGGAGAAAGGGUGCUCUUUAAUAAUAACCUAUCACUUAAUGCAUUUACAAGCAACAUUGGCCUUUUUUUGUUUGUUUCUUGAACACAAAGGAUACUCCAUGGUAAUGAGCUUUCCAAGUGGCUGGAUAGAUUCCAGGAAAAGUCGUCAUCUUUCCGAGUGCCUGUGUACCUGGAGUCUGACGAACAACAGGAUGCCCUUUUCUCAUAUAUUGAGAGAUUUCUGAGAACUGUACAAACAGCAUUCCCUAUUAGAGAUUGUGUGCAGUUCAUUCUGGAUGUCUUAUUCCCUGAGUCCAUCAUCCAUGCCCUGGCUACUCUACAGGGUGUAUCAGGACAGGAGGCAGAAGUCUUAUUUCUUGGUGGCCCAGAAUACAGUAUCAGUGAAGUGGAAGAAUUUAACCGAAAGAUAGGGCAGCAAUUAAAGAAGGAGAGAAUGCUGUGAUAUCUUUUGGAAUAGAAGAUGAUGCUACUGCCCAGUGCUUACAGAAUCCUUCAUUUGAGUCUUGGGUCUGAAUCUACUGCGUCAUUGCCAAGUAUUCUGGGGUAAUGUAUCUUGUUUUGUUUACAUUUUGUUUUUCUCCAUAUUCCAAGCUCAUUUACUUGACCUUAGCUUUAAUAAACUAGAUGGCUGUCUCCUUCACAAUUGAUUUUAAAGUACUAUACUAUUCAUUACAUAAAAAGCUCUGAACAAUUUAGUCCCUUCCUGUAUUUGGUACUGUCUCUCCCCCA